Molecule: long non-coding RNA, 1129 nt
Organism: Rattus rattus (black rat)
Lineage: Eukaryota; Metazoa; Chordata; Mammalia; Rodentia; Muridae
Exons: 2
Source: RefSeq, a predicted model, not a curated record
ACGCCGCGCUUCUACCAAAGUUGCAAAGCCACCAGCAGGCAGACCUGUCAGAACGGAGAAGAUCCCGGCGACCGAAGAAAGGCAAAACCGUUCCGUGUGGGCUGCCCGGAGUGGCAUCGAGUCUUGUUCGAGUCCGAAGAGCUUCCUGCUACUCUAAGCCGGUUUAAGUGAUGCGAGUAUCCUCCUCUUGUCCCACCCGGUCUGCGUCCUGACACCUAGUGGACUCCGCCCCAGGAGUGCGAGCAUCCUGAACGUUCAAGGUGUCCUGCGCAGCGGAAGGCAUCCGGCCACACCCGGAACCUCGCUGGUCCCUCGCCCGCCAACGCCAGUCCAGGUGGUCAGGCUCAGGAUGGCUUGUGAGCUUUCAAAGAGGAAGGCGAUGGAAGCCAGCAAGUACGCCACCAGCCGGAUGAAUUGUUGCUCUAUGGCUUGCACAAAGUCAAGCAAAUUAUCUUCUUAUAUUAUGUAAUAUCUCAACGGCCUGCUUACCUUAUUCCUUUAAUCUAGGUUAUUCUUGAAAGUAGCACUUGAAACAAAAAGUCGAUACGUUCUACUGGGAAUGUGAAAGAAAAGCCAAGGUAAUUGGGGAAGCAUUGCCAAGAGCUCAGUAGCUGUUAGACAAAAGCAUCCCAUGGGUCUUAAUAAAUUUUUUCUGACAUAUGUCUGUUCGAUGGGCCAGAGAGGAAGGAUGGGCACAGUACACACACACACACACACACACACACACACACACACACACACACACACACACACACACACACACACACACACAGAGAGAGAGAGACAGAGACAGAGAGAGACACAGAGACAGAGAGUCAGACAGAGAGAAGCAUUUUUCUUCUCUAUCAACAGCCAUCUCUGUAUGAGGAUUUCUCCCUUCACAUGGCAAUUGUGCCAUCCCUGUAGGCUGCCAGGGAACCUGCUUGGUACCGCCACAUCAGAGACACCUCGAGUAAGGAGGCUGGAUGCUUGCAAUAGUGCUUGAAGCACUGUUAACAAAGAGCAGGGUCCAGUCUUCCAGAGUCAUGACCUGCCUGGAUCCAAAGUUGAAAAGACCUGAGAGGUGUAAAAGCAGCCUGUCAUACUCUGCAUAAUACCUUGUUAGGCCUGAAAAAUCUAUUUGCACUUC